This 2226-nucleotide long non-coding RNA is filed under the name Elaeis guineensis (African oil palm). RNAcentral's name for it is "long non-coding RNA (EGUI_LNC079109)". Lineage: Eukaryota; Viridiplantae; Streptophyta; Magnoliopsida; Arecales; Arecaceae. The record is from RNAcentral.
UGAGGUCCGUGAAUGAGAGUAAAAGUCUUUGUUUUAUGAAACAAGAAUGGUGUGUCUAGCUUCAAUCAUGAGGCACAGAUUCUAUCUAACAUGACCAUGGUAGGGUUAAGUUCUUUUAAUGAUAAGGCAAUUGGGUUCCACCAAAUAUGUAUUUAUUUCUGCAGUGAAUUCAAUUACAUAGUGUCAAUUGCUUACAAAACGACGUACCUGGGUGGUACGUUCCAACUGCCAUGCAGUGCAAAAAUCUUGUGGCGAACAAUUUUGUUUAGGGCCAUAUAAGGAAAAAAAUCUCAUUCAGCGGUAGUCUCUUUCAGUGGUAAGAUGUAGGUGGCUUUCAAGUGUAAACACAUUGAAAUUUAUUUAGCUCAAUUAAGAAACAAAUAAUAAAAGUCAAAUUGGUUCAUCUUUGCUUUAUGUUAAACGAUGGAGUAAUGCCACCCAACCAAUGCUUGGGUGCAUGUCCUGAUCUUUUAACAUCGAAAAUUCUUCUUAUAAAAGGUCUCGCUAUGCAGGCAGGUGGCCUACAUGUAGAUUUACAUUACAUAUAUGGAUGCUCAAUGUGACUUUUGUCACUGGACUCACAAAAGAGAGAGAUGCUAAUGUAACACAUAAUUCCCAUGCAAUAGGUGUAACUCAUAAUUCCUCGUGGGCGAUCUGUACCUUGUUUUUGUACCAAGUUGCAAUAUUAUGUGUCGUAGGAUACAUAGACAUCAUAUGGUAACCUGGCCUUUUUGUUAGAUUUAUCUGCGCUCGCCCUAGAUCUACUAUGGAUCAGGUUGGUCCGGUUAUCCAAUCGAGUAAAUUAUUGCCAUCCCCAACCAGAAAAAAAAGAACUUUUCGUUAUUGGCCACCGAGAUGGCUUUAUGAGCCCGAUCCAAAUAUUGAUGUUUGUAUGCAAAUUGUGACGCAAAUAUCUAGCAAAUAACAUUAUGUGGACUGUAUUUUCACAACCAUCUCAACGGUGACCACUAACCAGAAUUGUCCCACCCUAGGAACACCAACGUUUAUUUUUUCAAAAAAAAAAAAAAGCAUCCGCGAGGGUUAGGACUGGCGCCUAACGACACACAUGCGGUCGCAUAUAAAAUAGAAGGAAAUCUGGCUUCCACAUAGAAACUUCUAUGCCUGCGUCUCGGUUCAUGAAGUCGGGAAAAAUGGUUUGACUCAUCUUUCUUUCUUUUCUUUUUUUUUUUUUUUGGUAAAGGUCUGACUCAUCUAUUUGCGGUAGGCGGUAGGCGGUAGGCGUAUUUAUUUAUGCCUUCCGACGCUUAAGACGUCGGCAGUUCCCGAAGAACUUGUUAGAUUUAUGAAAAUAUUUUUUAUAAAAAUAAUUAUUUUUUAAAAAAUAAUUUUAAUAUAUUUGAUUGAUCAUGAAAAAAUAGUUUAUAUAUAAUGGUUGAAAUUUAAUUGAACAUCUACUUUUCCAAAAAAAAUAAUAUAAAAUAUCUAUAUAUUCUUAAUGGAUUUAAGAUCAUAUAUUUUUGCUCCUAACUUUUAUAUAAAUAAUAAUAUUAUAUUUAUAUAAAUAUACAUAUAAUAUUAAUAUAUUAUAAUAUAAUAUUUGAAUAUAAUAAUUUAUUAUAUUAAUAUAAUACUAAUAUAUAUUGAUAUUAUAUCAAUAUAAUAUUAAUAUUCUAAUAUAAUAAAUUUAUUAAUAUAAAUAUAAAUAUAAUAUUUAAUAUAAUAUUAUAUUGAUAUAUAUUAAUAUAUUAAUAUAGAUGAUAUUAAUAUCACUAUUUGGUACUUCAUCUUAACUAUCCAUUAAUAUUUUGUAAAAUUUCAAUCAUGAAUUUUAAAAGAAUAUUUUUGAAAAAAAAAAGAUCAUUAUUUCUUAUCCCGUGCUCCCAUAGAUUUCUAUUUUCCAUUGGUCAUCUCACAUAUCGAUAAUGUCUUGUCUGGCAUAUUGUUUUCUAUAGGUUUGUAGAAGCUUAAAUAUUUCUUGAGAUGAUGAUGAGCAUGAUAAAUUUGCAUGGUCCAAUUGGUAUAUUUACAUUUUUGCAAUUAUUUAAUAGAUGCUCAAGUUUCAUCCUGUUAAACAACCUGAGUUUGCAUAUGUAGUAUCUAGUAUAUGUGGAUCAUUGAUCAGGUCUGAUCUAAUACCACUUGCUAUAAUGUAGAAUCUCAUUCAGAAAAACCAGUGGGAAGAUAUUAUCUAAAUUUUCUGGUCAUGUAUACAUAACAAAGAUCUACCUAGUCGAAAGCAGAUGUGGGAUUAAACAUAUAUAUAUC